GAUCCUGGCUCGGGAUGAACGCUAGCGACAGGCUUAACACAUGCAAGUCGAGGGGCAGCAUGAUUUGUAGCAAUACAGAUUGAUGGCGACCGGCGCACGGGUGAGUAACGCGUAUGCAACUUACCUAUCAGAGGGGGAUAGCCCGGCGAAAGUCGGAUUAAUACCCCAUAAAACAGGGUCCCGCAUGGGAAUAUUUGUUAAAGAUUCAUCGCUGAUAGAUAGGCAUGCGUCCCA
Molecule: ribosomal RNA, 234 nt
Filed under: uncultured bacterium
Lineage: Bacteria
Description: partial 16S ribosomal RNA
Rfam family: Bacterial small subunit ribosomal RNA
Source: RNAcentral